GACGUAGGGCGCGAGCGUUGUCCGGAUUCAUUGGGCGUAAAGGGCGCGCAGGCGGCCCGGAAAGUCGGAUGUGAAAACUCGAGGCUCAACCUCGAGCGUGCACCCGAUACUGCCGGGCUUGAGGCAGGUAGGGGAGAUCGGAAUUCCUGGUGUAGCGGUGAAAUGCGUAGAUAUCUGGAGGAACACCGGUGGCGAAGGCGGCAUCCUGGACCAAUACUGACACUGAGACACGAAAGCGUGGGGAGCAAACAGG
Molecule: ribosomal RNA, 253 nt
Filed under: uncultured bacterium
Lineage: Bacteria
Description: partial 16S ribosomal RNA
Rfam family: Bacterial small subunit ribosomal RNA
Source: RNAcentral